GACGAACGCUGGCGGCGUGCUUAACACAUGCAAGUCGAACGAUGAAGCUAGAGCUUGCUCUGGGGAAUUAGUGGCGAACGGGUGAGUAACACGUGAGUAACCUGCCCCGAACUCUGGGAUAACUGCUGGAAACGGUAGCUAAUACUGGAUACGACCUACGAAGGCAUCUUCUGUAGGUGGAAAGAAUUUCGGUUCGGGAUGGACUCGCGGCCUAUCAGCUUGUUGGUGAGGUAAUGGCUCACCAAGGCGACGACGGGUAGCCGGCCUGAGAGGGUGACCGGCCACACUGGGACUGAGACACGGCCCAGACUCCUACGGGAGGCAGCAGUGGGGAAUAUUGCACAAUGGGCGCAAGCCUGAUGCAGCAACGCCGCGUGAGGGAUGACGGCCUUCGGGUUGUAAACCUCUUUUAGUAGGGAAGAAGCGAAAGUGACGGUACCUGCAGAAAAAGCACCGGCUAACUACGUGCCAGCCGCCGCCGCGG
Molecule: ribosomal RNA, 484 nt
Filed under: uncultured bacterium
Lineage: Bacteria
Description: partial 16S ribosomal RNA
Rfam family: Bacterial small subunit ribosomal RNA
Source: RNAcentral